Molecule: ribosomal RNA, 609 nt
Filed under: Lodderomyces parapsilosis
Lineage: Eukaryota; Fungi; Ascomycota; Pichiomycetes; Serinales; Debaryomycetaceae
Description: Candida parapsilosis partial large subunit ribosomal RNA
Rfam family: Eukaryotic large subunit ribosomal RNA
Source: RNAcentral
AAUAGCGGAGGAAAAGAAACCAACAGGGAUUGCCUUAGUAGCGGCGAGUGAAGCGGCAAAAGCUCAAAUUUGAAAUCUGGCACUUUCAGUGUCCGAGUUGUAAUUUGAAGAAGGUAUCUUUGGGUCUGGCUCUUGUCUAUGUUUCUUGGAACAGAACGUCACAGAGGGUGAGAAUCCCGUGCGAUGAGAUGUCCCAGACCUAUGUAAAGUUCCUUCGAAGAGUCGAGUUGUUUGGGAAUGCAGCUCUAAGUGGGUGGUAAAUUCCAUCUAAAGCUAAAUAUUGGCGAGAGACCGAUAGCGAACAAGUACAGUGAUGGAAAGAUGAAAAGAACUUUGAAAAGAGAGUGAAAAAGUACGUGAAAUUGUUGAAAGGGAAGGGCUUGAGAUCAGACUUGGUAUUUUGUAUGUUACUCUCUCGGGGGUGGCCUCUACAGUUUACCGGGCCAGCAUCAGUUUGAGCGGUAGGAUAAGUGCAAAGAAAUGUGGCACUGCUUCGGUAGUGUGUUAUAGUCUUUGUCGAUACUGCCAGCUUAGACUGAGGACUGCGGCUUCGGCCUAGGAUGUUGGCAUAAUGAUCUUAAGUCGCCCGUCUUGAGCAACGGAAACCAG